This 1607-nucleotide ribosomal RNA is filed under the name Clostridium perfringens. RNAcentral's name for it is "bacterial SSU rRNA". It matches the Rfam family "Bacterial small subunit ribosomal RNA". The record is from RNAcentral. Lineage: Bacteria; Bacillati; Bacillota; Clostridia; Eubacteriales; Clostridiaceae.
UAAAUGACGAGUUGAUCCGGCUCAGGAUGAACGCUGGCGGCAGUGCUCACACAGUGCAAGUCGAGCGAUGAAGUUCUCCUCGGUGAAACGGGAAUUAGCGUCGGGCACGGGUAGGUAGUAUACACGUGGGUAACCUGCUCAUAGAGUGGAAUUAGCCUUCCGAAAAGGCAGAUAAUACCGCAUAAUGUGAAGAUGGCAUAUUCAUCUAUACCAAAGGAGCAUCCGCUAUGAGAUGGACCGCGGCGCAUUAGCUAGUGGUGGUCGAAGGUGGUACGGCCUACCAAGGCGACGAUGCGUAGCCGACCUGAGAGGGUGAUCGGCACAACAUGCGGACUGAGACACGGCCAGACUCAUACGGGAGCACGCAGUGCGGGAAUAUUGCACGACAAUGAAACCCUGAUGCAGCAACGCCGCGUGAGUGAUGAAGGUUUCGAAUCGUAAAGCUCGGUGUUUGCGUGGUGAGGUGUAAGAUAAUGACGGUGACCAAGAGGAAAGGACGCACGGCUAACUACGUGCCAGCAGCCGCGUAAUACGUAGGUGGCGAGCGUUAUCCGGAUUCUACUAGCGCCGUAAAAGGAGCGUAGGCGGAUGAUUAAGUGGGAUGUGAAAUACCCGGGCUCUAACUUGAGGGGCUGCAUCCAUUAUUUUAUCUGGUUAUCUAGAGUGCAGGGUGAGAGGGGCGGACACAAAGAGAGAGUGGAAUCUCUAGUGUAGCGGUGAAUGAAAUGCGCUAGAGAUUAGAAGAACACCAGUGGCGAAGGCGACUCUGCUGGACUGUAACUGACGCUGAGCUGCGAAAGCGUGGGGACCAAACAGGAUUAGAUUAGAUACCUGGUAGUCCACGCCGUAAACGAUGCAAUACUAGGUGUGGGCGUUUCAACACCUCCGUGCCGCCGCACUAACGCAUUAAGUAUCCGCCUGUGGGGAGUACGGUCGCAAGAUUAAAACUCAAAGGAAUGGACGGGGACCCGCACAAGUACGUUCGCGCUGAGGCAUGUGGUUUAAUAUCGAAGCAACGCGUAAGAACCUUACCUACACUUGACAUCCUUGCAUUACUCUUAAUCGAGGAAAUCUCUUCGGCGGAACAAGGUGGACAGGUGGUUGCAUGGUGUCGUCAGCUCGUGCCGUGAGCUGUGUGGGUUAUAGUCCCGCAACGAGCGCAACCCUUGUCGUAGUACUAUCCAUAAGCUUGAGGACUCUAGCGAGACUGCUGGGUUAAGACAGGCGGAGAGGUGGGAUGACGGUCAAAUCACUCAUGCCCCUUAUGUUGUAGAGGCUUACACACGUGCUACAUAUGCUGUACAGAGAGAUGCAAUACCGCGAGGUGGAGCCAAACUUUAAAAACCAGUGCUCAGUUCCGGAUUGUAGCGAAACUCGCUACAUGAAGCUGAGUUACUAGUAAUCACGCGAAUCAGAAUGUCGCGGUAGAAUACGUUCCCGGGUCUGUACACACACGCGUCACACCAUGAGAGUGGCAGAUACCAGCCGAAGCUAAAGCCCGUGAGCGAACCGCAAGGAGGCAGCGGCGAAGGUAGGUCAGCGAGUGGGUGUGAAGUCUCGUCACAAGGUAGUCCUGUAGGAGCACCUGCGGUCUGGAUCACCUCCUU